UGGGGAAUAUUGCACAAUGGGCGCAAGCCUGAUGCAGCCAUGCCGCGUGUGUGAAGAAGGCCUUCGGGUUGUAAAGCACUUUCAGCGGGGAGGAAGGCGAUAAGGUUAAUAACCUUGUCGAUUGACGUUACCCGCAGAAGAAGCACCGGCUAACUCCGUGCCAGCAGCCGCGGUAAUACGGAGGGUGCAAGCGUUAAUCGGAAUGACUGGGCGUAAAGCGCACGCAGGCGGUCUGUCAAGUCGGAUGUGAAAUCCCCGGGCUCAACCUGGGAACUGCAUUCGAAACUGGCAGGCUAGAGUCUUGUAGAGGGGGGUAGAAUUCCAGGUGUAGCGGUGAAAUGCGUAGAGAUCUGGAGGAAUACCGGUGGCGAAGGCGGCCCCCUGGACAAAGACUGACGCUCAGGUGCGAAAGCGUGGGGAGCAAACAGG
RNAcentral lists this ribosomal RNA (429 nucleotides) under Chloroflexota bacterium. RNAcentral's name for it is "Chloroflexi bacterium partial 16S ribosomal RNA". It matches the Rfam family "Bacterial small subunit ribosomal RNA", at positions 355 to 776 of the family's 1533-position model. Lineage: Bacteria; Bacillati; Chloroflexota. The record is from RNAcentral.